This 225-nucleotide long non-coding RNA is filed under the name Homo sapiens (human). RNAcentral's name for it is "LHRI_LNC1250.1". Lineage: Eukaryota; Metazoa; Chordata; Mammalia; Primates; Hominidae. The record is from RNAcentral.
GCCUGGCAGUGUUGCCCAGGAGGAGGCAGUGGAGUUAAGAAGCCUGGGUCUGAGCUCCUCAGCUGUGCAGACAACUCCUACUUGUUCUUCAACGCUCAACUUUAAGUUCAGUCACCACCUGCAGAAGUCUUCUCCAAAACCUCCCCACCUGGCUGACUAAGGGGCUGGCUUUAUGCUCUUGCAGUACUCAUGCUUCCUACUGUCACAGUUCUGACCACACCGUGG